This 158-nucleotide ribosomal RNA is filed under the name Scapania curta. Its description in RNAcentral is "5.8S ribosomal RNA". It matches the Rfam family "5.8S ribosomal RNA". Rfam says of the family: 5.8S ribosomal RNA (5.8S rRNA) is a component of the large subunit of the eukaryotic ribosome. It is transcribed by RNA polymerase I as part of the 45S precursor that also contains 18S and 28S rRNA. Lineage: Eukaryota; Viridiplantae; Streptophyta; Jungermanniopsida; Jungermanniales; Scapaniaceae. The record is from RNAcentral.
ACGACUCUCAGCAACGGAUAUCUUGGCUCUUGCAACGAUGAAGAACGUAGCGAAAUGCGAUACCUAGUGUGAAUUGCAGAAUUCAGCAAAUCAUCGAGUCUUUGAACGCAAGUUGCGCCCGAGGCUUGUCCCGAGGGCAUGCCUGCCUGAGCGUCACC